This 380-nucleotide ribosomal RNA is filed under the name uncultured eukaryote. RNAcentral describes it as "SSU rRNA". It matches the Rfam family "Eukaryotic small subunit ribosomal RNA", at positions 587 to 972 of the family's 1831-position model. The record is from RNAcentral.
AGCUCCGCUAGUGUAUACCACGAGUACUGCGGUUAAAAAGCUCGUAGUUGGAUCUUCGGCACCGGGCGCGGCUCCUCCCCACGGGUGCGUAGUCGCGUCCGCGCCUCGUUUGUCGGCGUUCGCAGCGUUCCCUUAGCUGGGCGUGUUGUGGAUCCGGCGCUUUUACCUUGAGAAAAUUGGAGUGCUCAGAACAGGCGACCGCCUGAACAGUUGUGCAUGGAAUAAUGGAAUAGGAUCUCGGUCCUAUUUUGUUGGUUUUAGGGACCAGGAUAAUGAUUAAGAGGGACAGACGGGGGCAUUCGUAUUGCUGCGUUAGAGGUGAAAUUCUUGGAUCGCAGCAAGACGGACAACUGCGAAAGCAUUUGCCAAGAAUGUUUUCA